CCUACGGGUGGCAGCAGUGGGGAAUAUUGGACAAUGGGCGAAAGCCUGAUCCAGCCAUGCCGCGUGUGUGAAGAAGGCCUUCGGGUUGUAAAGCACUUUCAGUGGGGAAGAAAGCCUUGGGGCUAAUACCCUCGAGGAAGGACAUCACCCACAGAAGAAGCACCGGCUAACUCCGUGCCAGCAGCCGCGGUAAUACGGAGGGUGCGAGCGUUAAUCGGAAUUACUGGGCGUAAAGCGCGCGUAGGCGGUCUGAUAAGCCGGUUGUGAAAGCCCCGGGCUCAACCUGGGAACGGCAUCCGGAACUGUCAGGCUAGAGUGCAGGAGAGGAAGGUAGAAUUCCCGGUGUAGCGGUGAAAUGCGUAGAGAUCGGGAGGAAUACCAGUGGCGUAGGCGGCCUUCUGGACUGACACUGACGCUGAGGUGCGAAAGCGUGGGUAGCAAACAGGAUUAGAUACCCCGGUAGUCC
Molecule: ribosomal RNA, 466 nt
Filed under: Vreelandella stevensii
Lineage: Bacteria; Pseudomonadati; Pseudomonadota; Gammaproteobacteria; Oceanospirillales; Halomonadaceae
Description: partial 16S ribosomal RNA
Rfam family: Bacterial small subunit ribosomal RNA
Source: RNAcentral